This 421-nucleotide ribosomal RNA is filed under the name uncultured bacterium. RNAcentral's name for it is "partial 16S ribosomal RNA". It matches the Rfam family "Bacterial small subunit ribosomal RNA", at positions 360 to 773 of the family's 1533-position model. The record is from RNAcentral.
AAUAUUGGACAAUGGGGGCAACCCUGAUCCAGCCAUGCCGCGUGUGUGAAGAAGGUCUUCGGAUUGUAAAGCACUUUAAGUUGGGAGGAAGGGCUUUAGGUUAAUACCCUGCAUUUUUGACGUUACCAACAUACUAAGCACCCGCUCACUCUGUUUCACCAGCCGCGGUAAUACAGAGGGGGCAAGUGUUAAUCGGAAUUACUGGGCGGAAAGCGCGCGUAGGUGGUUCAGUAAGAUGGGUGUGAAAUCCCCGGGCUUAACCUGGGAACUGCUUUCAUAACUGCUGAGCUAGAGUACGGUAGAGGGUAGUGGAAUUUCCUGUGUAGCGGUGAAAUGCGUAGAUAUAGGAAGGAACACCAGUGGCGAAGGCGACUACCUGGACUGAUACUGACACUGAGGUGCGAAAGCGUGGGGAGCAAAC